Molecule: long non-coding RNA, 1352 nt
Filed under: Vigna radiata
Lineage: Eukaryota; Viridiplantae; Streptophyta; Magnoliopsida; Fabales; Fabaceae
Description: long non-coding RNA (VRAD_LNC006814)
Source: RNAcentral
GCAAUAGCAAACAUCACAAAGCCCAUGUGUAACCCAGCUUCACGGUCCUGCACGUCCAACACAAUUAAAAUAAAAAAAAGGCUCCGUUGAAGAGGUGCAACAUAUGUAGUUGGUGAUGAAGGGCUGCUGCCACGUCCCAGAGAGAUCCAGCUGUGGAGAUUAAUUGCAAAAGCAGGUUCCAGCAUAAUGGAGGAAGGCUGUUACGGUGCUUCAUCCGGGGAACACGUGCAGGCCUUGAGCAGCAUCACCGUCAAGCAGAUCACGGCCCAGCAAAGGCAAAGGCCAGCAGCUGCAGCAUCAAGGGGGUGUGCGUCCAGCAAUCAACCACCAGGUCCAGCACUCCAUGCAGCACACGCUGCAUUCAUUUACUUGACAAAUAAAGGGCUGUUACGGCCCAUGAAAGCUGCAGUCCAGCUUGAGUAGCUUACGGUGCAGUUAAAGAAAAGCUGGAAGCAUCAUGGCCCAGCUCCCUCCAUGCACACAGCAAAAAACUACUACAACACGACCCAUAUAUGUUCAGCAGCAUUCCUUCACCACGAUUCAACAUCCACGAUGGAAUCACUUGGGCUUGAAGUUGUGCUGAUUCCAGGAGGCAGCCCAUGAAGACACGACCCAAUAGCUCCACACGGUCUGGUGUUGAUGCCCACGGUCUGCACUCAACGACCAUCAUCCAGCUCUUGAGAAGGUGCGGAAGCCUACACGGUCCAACUCCAUGUAACAGUAGAUUGAGGUGCAGUAGUUUGAAAACAAUAGGAGGUGCAAAUGUCAUUUUAUUGGGCUGAUUGUGAGGUGCACAGGUGACGUCUCUACUGCAGCGUCAAAGAGCAAGGGAGAGCUCCUUGCUUGCUUCACCAGCAAUUGGGCUUGGAGAAGUUUUGGAGCAGCUAGAUCCAUCCGUGAGUAGCAGCCAUGCUGGCAGUAGGGUAGAGGAGGCUCUCGGGAUUUUUGGGGAGCUGGCAACGUGAAAAGGAGGAGAUACUGUUACAUUGGCCGCCACUUGUUAGAGGGUCUCGGAGAGUGAUAUUUUUGAUUGCUGGAAACAGCACACAGGUUGGCAAUGGAGGGGUAUGGGUGAAGAUAGAAGUGGACGAUGAUUUCAGCAAAGGGAAAAGAAACACUUCCAAUUUUCCUUAUAGUAGUAGGCGCUGUUUUUCUUUUGAUUGAAAUUUAAUUUCAGAAGCUAUGUCACAUGAGAUUCGCUUUAGAGGAUAUUCACACGUCCAUUGUUGAAGGGGGCGGUUGUCACAUCUUGAGGAGAGAGUUUUAAUAGUUUUUUUUUUUUUAUAUUCUAUUUCAAGCUUAGACCAAGGAUUGUCUUUUUAUUCAGCAUUUGGAAUUACAUUUACAACCGC